CACGUAGGGGGCGAGCGUUGUCCGGAUUUAUUGGGCGUAAAGAGCUCGUAGGCGGCUCAGUAAGUCGGGUGUGAAAACUCCAGGCUCAACCUGGAGACGCCACCUGAUACUGCUGUGGCUAGAGUCCGGUAGGGGAGCAUGGAAUUCCUGGUGUAGCGGUGAAAUGCGCAGAUAUCAGGAGGAACACCAGCGGCGAAGGCGGCGCUCUGGGCCGGUACUGACGCUGAGGAGCGAAAGCGUGGGGAGCAAACAGG
RNAcentral lists this ribosomal RNA (254 nucleotides) under uncultured bacterium. RNAcentral describes it as "partial 16S ribosomal RNA". It matches the Rfam family "Bacterial small subunit ribosomal RNA", at positions 524 to 776 of the family's 1533-position model. The record is from RNAcentral.